UCUCCUGGAAACGGGUGGUAAUGCCGGAUGUUCCACAUGAGCGCAUGCGAGUGUGGGAAAGGCUUUUUGCGGCAUGGGAUGGGGUCGCGUCCUAUCAGCUUGUUGGUGGGGUAACGGCCUACCAAGGCGUUGACGGGUAGCCGGCCUGAGAGGGCGACCGGCCACAUUGGGACUGAGAUACGGCCCAGACUCCUACGGGAGGCAGCAGUGGGGAAUAUUGCACAAUGGGCGCAAGCCUGAUGCAGCGACGCCGCGUGCGGGAUGGAGGCCUUCGGGUUGUAAACCGCUUUUGUUCAAGGGCAAGGCACGGUUUCGGCCGUGUUGAGUGGAUUGUUCGAAUAAGCACCGGCUAACUACGUGCCAGCAGCCGCGGUAAUACGUAGGGGUGCAAGCGUUAUCCGGAUUUAUUGGGGCGUAAAGGGCUCGUAGGCGGUUCGUCGCGUCCGGGUGGUGAAAGUCCAUCGCUUAACGGUGGAUCCGCGCCCGGGUACGGGCGGGGCUUGAGUGCGGUAGGGGGAGAACCUGGGAAUUCCCGGGUGGUAACGGGUGGAAAUUGUGGUAGAAUAUCGGGGAAGAAACACCCA
This 584-nucleotide ribosomal RNA is filed under the name uncultured Bifidobacterium sp. RNAcentral's name for it is "bacterial SSU rRNA". It matches the Rfam family "Bacterial small subunit ribosomal RNA", at positions 146 to 712 of the family's 1533-position model. The record is from RNAcentral. Lineage: Bacteria; Bacillati; Actinomycetota; Actinomycetes; Bifidobacteriales; Bifidobacteriaceae.